GAGACCUCAGGUCAGGCGGAGCUACC
RNAcentral lists this ribosomal RNA (26 nucleotides) under Hypocalyptus sophoroides. Its description in RNAcentral is "partial 26S ribosomal RNA". Lineage: Eukaryota; Viridiplantae; Streptophyta; Magnoliopsida; Fabales; Fabaceae. The record is from RNAcentral.